AGCGAACGCUGGCGGCAGGCUUAACACAUGCAAGUCGAGCGGGCACUUUCGGGUGUCCGCGGCGGACGGGUGAGUAACGCGUGGGAACGUGCCCUCUGGUUCGGAAUAACUCAGGGAAACUUGAGCUAAUACCGGAUACGCCCUUUUGGGGAAAGGCUUGCUGCCGGAGGAUCGGCCCGCGUCUGAUUAGCUAGUUGGUGAGGUAACGGCUCACCAAGGCGACGUUCAGUAGCUGGUCUGAGAGGAUGAUCAGCCACACUGGGACUGAGACACGGCCCAGACUCCUACGGGAGGCAGCAGUGGGGAAUAUUGGACAAUGGGCGCAAGCCUGAUCCAGCCAUGCCGCGUGAGUGAUGAAGGCCUUAGGGUUGUAAAGCUCUUUUAUCCGGGACGAUAAUGACGGUACCGGAGGAAUAAGCCCCGGCUAACUUCGUG
RNAcentral lists this ribosomal RNA (435 nucleotides) under uncultured bacterium. RNAcentral describes it as "partial 16S ribosomal RNA". It matches the Rfam family "Bacterial small subunit ribosomal RNA", at positions 29 to 507 of the family's 1533-position model. The record is from RNAcentral.